Non-coding RNA from Bos taurus (domestic cattle), 72 nucleotides. The record is from Rfam. NCBI's taxonomy places the organism in Eukaryota, Metazoa, Chordata, Mammalia, Artiodactyla, Bovidae.
UCCCUGGUGGCUCAGAUGGUAAAGAAUCUGCCUGCUAUGCAGGAGACCUGGGUUCCAUUCCUGGUUUGGAAA